This 253-nucleotide ribosomal RNA is filed under the name uncultured bacterium. Its description in RNAcentral is "partial 16S ribosomal RNA". It matches the Rfam family "Bacterial small subunit ribosomal RNA", at positions 524 to 776 of the family's 1533-position model. The record is from RNAcentral.
UACGAAGGGGGCUAGCGUUGCUCGGAAUCACUGGGCGUAAAGGGUGCGUAGGUGGCAGGGUAAGUCGGAUGUGAAAUCCCGGGGCUCAACCUCGGAACUGCAUUCGAUACUGCUUUGCUUGAGUACUGGAGAGGAGAUUGGAAUUUACGGUGUAGCAGUGAAAUUCGUAGAUAUUCGCAAGAACACCAGUGGCGAAGGCGGCUCACUGGCCCGGUACUGACGCUGAGGUGCGAAAGCGUGGGGAGCAAACAGG